AUAAUAAUAUAAUUAAUACGCUGAUAUUUAAAUUACAAAAAUUAAGAUUUUAAUAUUCGAACUAAAGGAAUUCUCGCCCUGGCGCAAGGAUACAUCCUCCACUAAGCACGCGGUGGGGUUGCCGCGCGCGCGUAAGGAUUAUUUAUCACUCAAACUUCAGCUUCGAUCUUCGAUGUGAGGCGAAAAUAAGCAGAUUCUGUGAGCAGAUUCAGUGAGCAAGUUCUGUGAGCGUAUAAAGUCAAGGAAGUUCCCGCUUGACAGCAGAGAACUUUAUGUUUUCUGUGGACCAAGUCGUAGUAAACAGCCACAUCACCAUCUUCAGUGAUGCUCUGAAGCUGAUGUUUGCCUCGUACUACUGCUUCAACAUUUCAUACCCAGGAGACCAAGGAGCAACGCUAGAGUUUGUGCAAAGAUGCCUUUAAGAUGAACCCUGAGAAGGGAUCAAAAGUGGAGAAGACCACAUCAAGAAAGCUAAC
Long non-coding RNA from Labeo rohita (rohu), 476 nucleotides. RefSeq lists it as uncharacterized. The transcript has 4 exons. The record is from RefSeq and is a predicted model, not a curated record. Lineage: Eukaryota; Metazoa; Chordata; Actinopteri; Cypriniformes; Cyprinidae.